RNAcentral lists this transfer RNA (72 nucleotides) under Pelecanus crispus (Dalmatian pelican). It matches the Rfam family "tRNA". Rfam says of the family: Transfer RNA (tRNA) molecules are approximately 80 nucleotides in length. Their secondary structure includes four short double-helical elements and three loops (D, anti-codon, and T loops). Lineage: Eukaryota; Metazoa; Chordata; Aves; Pelecaniformes; Pelecanidae. The record is from Rfam by way of RNAcentral.
GGCCUCAGGGCACGACAGCAGCAUGUCUGACUCCAGAUCAGAAGGUUGUGUGUUCAAGUCACACUGAGGUUG